UUGCAAAAUACUUUGUCACUCGUAGCUGAUGUGGUGUUUCUCUUUAUAGCGUUGCUUCAAGAGUGUACUUUGGGGUUCAUGUAAUGUUAAUUGUGAGCCACUAUGCAUGUAGAAACAAAAUUACCAGUUCUCAUGGCCCAUUCACAUUGUCUUAAAUAUUUUGCUCACUUGGUACAUAAUUUGGCAUCUCCUGCAGAAGGGCUCAAUAUGACAGCAGGACUGCUGCUGCCAAUGUCGAAGCUGUUGCAGAGGCAACCGCGUAUGCCAGAGAGACUGCAGCAGGUAAAUAGCUGUUGCAUGAUGCAUUUGCUGUUACCCGUCUGAAUAUUUGCGACUUGGGAAAACAAAUUCUCUGCCGCUCAAUCAUGCUGUGCAGGCAUCCUCAACGACAUCACUGAGGGCUGCACUGAGCAGCAGAGUGACAUGGAAGGUGACCAGCGUUCUGUAGAGCGGCCCUACAGUCCAGGCGAUGUAGUGUGCGGUCUCGGCAAUGACCGUGAUUCAUUGUUGGAGCUUACUAGUGAGGGGCGGGAGGAUUCGUCUCCCUCUUCUCAAAUGGUCAGCCCACAACGCUCGUAUGUCACAAGUGGCAGAAAAAGGCAGCUCAGUGGGGGCCAUGGUGCCCCACAAGGGUCCAGCAGGAGACGGCGGCACAGAGAACUGCCUGGCGACAAGGCCGACGUCCUGCUGGCAGUGUGUGCAACACAACUGACGACCCAGAGAGGGACAUCACCAUGCCCUCGUAGACAUGUCGAUGAGCUUUCCCAGAGCGAGUCUCUACUUCUAAGUUUCGGUCACCUGCUCGAUAACGUACCAAGAGAGAGGCGCAAUUCCACAGUAGCUCAAAUAGCUAAUUUUUUGGCUGAGGCAGCAGAAACAGAAUGACUUGCAGCAGCCCGCAGCUAAAAUGUUACCUCAGAAAUGCUGUAUGUUAAGAACUUCAGUGUCGUCCCUCGUUAUGGUAACAGCUAAGCGUUAGGAUUCAAUAACUGCCACCAGCCAUUGCACGGGCUGAUUACUCCUCCAAUUCUGAUUGUUGUCUGUGUUCUGCAGCGUCUCACCGGGUCACUGCCUGUGCCAACAUCCAUGUAUCCACAGGCUCAUUGCAUGUGGAUGCAUAGGUGUUGGUACACCUCAGUCACAAACAUUUCAUUCCCUGGCAAUGCUGCUGAGCCACACCACUGCUGUGUGAAUAAUGUGUCUCUCUCGGGUGUGUGUUCUGGUUGGGAACUCGAGAGGCCUCCCUCGUUACGGUGGCAGCACGGCACUAGGAUGCGAUAGCUGCUGUCACCCGUAACUCGGGUUCCUCGCUCCUCGAAUUCCCAACAGUGUCUGUGUUCUGCAGUCUCUCACCGGGCCACUGCCUGCGCCAGCAUCCGUGUAUCCACAGGCUCAUUGCAUGCGGUUGCACAGGUGCUGGUACAGCCUAGUCGCAAACAUUUGAUGCCCCGACAAAGCUGCAGAGCCGUGCCACUUUGGUGUAAAUAGCUCGUCUCUCUUAGUGUGCAUUCUGGUCAAGAACUCGAGAGGCCUCCCUCUUUAUGGUGGCAGCACGGCACUAGGAUGCGAUAGCUGCUGUCACCGUAACUCGGGUUCCUCGCUCCUUGAAUUCCCAACAGUGUCUGUGUUCUGCAGCCUCUCACCGGGCCACUGCCUGCCCCAGCAUCCGUGUACCCACAGGCUCAUUGCAUGCGGUUGCACAGGUGCUGGUACAGCCCAGUCGCAAAUAUUUUGUUUUAGGAUCAGGCUGCAGAAUCAUUCCAUGCUGCAAAAGAGAAGUUCCUCCAUUGUCUGACCCUUGCAUGAAUGUUUCAUGUGUAUUGGUUAUUCUUUGUUGUGUGUUUGUUCUUUGCUUGCUUUCUUGUUUGUGUUUUGCUUUCCUUAUGUUGCAGGCUCAAGUAGACGGAAUCCUGGAGUUGCUGCUCAAUUGACCGAAUCUUUUGCAUAUCCUUUGGUUUUUGUCGGCUUUACAACUGUUGUGUUGGUGCUGUCUUACUCGCACGUACUUCCUUCGAUGAAACGGCUGGAAAACCAGACCAUUGCAGCGGCACUCUCGGCAGCACCUGCCUGCUAGAGAGCGCGGUCCCCAGGUGGCGGAUGGGGGACCUGCUAUUGCGCAUUACUGCAACAGCAGUGGUGCUUGCACCUCGCGGACCAACAGGCCUUUCUUUUCUUCCCAGAUUCCUUUAGGUAGCCCAGCUGAACUUUGGGUUGCAGAACCAGCGUAAAUUGCGGAGCUGAAUAAACCUGCUGCAGUCGUGUU
Molecule: non-coding RNA, 2263 nt
Organism: Dermacentor andersoni
Lineage: Eukaryota; Metazoa; Arthropoda; Arachnida; Ixodida; Ixodidae
Source: RefSeq, a predicted model, not a curated record